Molecule: ribosomal RNA, 427 nt
Filed under: uncultured Sporosarcina sp.
Lineage: Bacteria; Bacillati; Bacillota; Bacilli; Caryophanales; Caryophanaceae
Description: bacterial SSU rRNA
Rfam family: Bacterial small subunit ribosomal RNA
Source: RNAcentral
UAGGGAAUCUUCCACAAUGGACGAAAGUCUGAUGGAGCAAUGCCGCGUGAGUGAAGAAGGUUUUCGGAUCGUAAAACUCUGUUGUGAGGGAAGAACAAGUACGGGAGUAACUGCCCGUACCUUGACGGUACCUCAUUAGAAAGCCACGGCUAACUACGUGCCAGCAGCCGCGGUAAUACGUAGGUGGCAAGCGUUGUCCGGAAUUAUUGGGCGUAAAGCGCGCGCAGGCGGCCUUUUAAGUCUGAUGUGAAAGCCCACGGCUCAACCGUGGAAGGUCAUUGGAAACUGAAAGGCUUGAGUACAGAAGAGGAAAGCGGAAUUCCACGUGUAGCGGUGAAAUGCGUAGAGAUGUGGAGGAACACCAGUGGCGAAGGCGGCUUUCUGGUCUGUAACUGACGCUGAGGCGCGAAAGCGUGGGGAGCAAACA